Molecule: long non-coding RNA, 1214 nt
Organism: Trematomus bernacchii (emerald rockcod)
Lineage: Eukaryota; Metazoa; Chordata; Actinopteri; Perciformes; Nototheniidae
Exons: 4
Source: RefSeq, a predicted model, not a curated record
UUAAUUAAAGUCAACGUUUCAGUUUUUUCAGUGCAGUUAUGGGACCCAAACUGAAGUGUUAAACAAUACAACCAAUAUGUAAGACCAGACCAAGUUUAAAAUGCAGCUACACAGUAAAGAUAAAACGAUAAGUAUGACCCGAUGUUUAGGUAAAAAACAUGAGCAGCGCAACCCGGUCGUAUGCUUUCUCAAAAAUCACAAAACACAUGAAGACCGAUUAGACAUCCAGGAUCCUUGCAAGAGUAGACAAAUUGGUACUUUUCCAAAACCAGGCAAGAAUCCACUUUGUUCUCCUCAUCAGUUGAGUUCAACAGCGUAACAUGCUUCCUUUAUAACAGCUUUAAUGGAGCCUUGCUUCUAAUACACUGUCCAACCCUGGUUGAAAGUGGUAUAUAGAGGAAAAUGAAGUUUUUACUUGUUUUUGGAUUUUAAUGGCCAACAUAAAGUUAAAACCGGUGGGUUUUCAGUCUAUGAAGCAAGUUGUGUGUCCUUUCUGCUGUUCUAGUGUUGAUGGGCAGCUCGUUCUAACAUUUUUGAACCAGGAAAGCAAACAGGCUUGUUUUUGUUCAAGGUUCCAGUUAAAGUAUGUUACAGUAAAGUAUCUCACAACUGUUUACCUCAAUUUCUAGAGGGAUUCUCAGAUGUCAGGAACAUCACCAGGUUGUUUCUGGUGGUUCUGGUGCUGAUUCCUCUGCUCCUUGUCUUUCUCUGGAUGAGGAAGAAGAAGGCUUCGAGCUCCACCACUGAAGCAAAUGAACCCAUAGAGACUGUGGAGUUAGACCCUUUUUCUGAUUAUGAGGACGUCUCAGACCUGAACAUGGUCUCUGCAGAACAGACAGAAGAACCAGAGGAGCAGGAGGACCUGGUGUGAAGAUGCAUCAAACCAGAGGGAGACUCACCUGGAUGAAACAGAAAGAAGUGAAACAUUGAAGAGGAAACAUUUACCCUCAAGUUCUCAUGGUGUUAAGUAACAGUAGGUAGGAGUGAAAGCAGUCAGAAACAACAUGUACAGGAGAUGGAGUAAAAUGUUUAUUUUAAUGUACAGUAUAUACACACACUUUACUGCAAGAGUGGGGGUGUAAACAGAAAUGUGCAUCAGCUUACAUUUAGCACUCUAACUACUUAUCAUAUUUGCAGCAUUCCUUCAAUGUGUAUAUAUUUUAUAAUGAAAAUAUCAUGAUAAAAGUAAAAUUGGGAAAAAAAGAAACACUCCC